AGUGAACGCUGGCGGUAGGCCUAACACAUGCAAGUCGAACGGCAGCACAGUAAGAGCUUGCUCUUACGGGUGGCGAGUGGCGGACGGGUGAGGAAUACAUCGGAAUCUACUUUUUCGUGGGGGAUAACGUAGGGAAACUUACGCUAAUACCGCAUACGACCUGCGGGUGAAAGCAGGGGAUCUUCGGACCUUGCGCGAUUGAAUGAGCCGAUGUCGGAUUAGCUAGUUGGCGGGGUAAAGGCCCACCAAGGCGACGAUCCGUAGCUGGUCUGAGAGGAUGAUAAGCCACACUGGAACUGAGACACGGUCCAGACUACUACGGGAGGCAGCAGUGGGGAAUAUUGGACAAUGGGCGCAAGCCUGAUACAGCCAUACCGAGUGGGUGAAGAAGGCCUUCGGGUUGUAAAGCCCUUUUGUUGGGAAAGAAAAGCAGCAGGUUAAUACCCCGCUGUUCUGACGGUAACCAAAGAAUAAGCACCGGCUAACUUCGUG
Molecule: ribosomal RNA, 492 nt
Filed under: uncultured bacterium
Lineage: Bacteria
Description: partial 16S ribosomal RNA
Rfam family: Bacterial small subunit ribosomal RNA
Source: RNAcentral